UUGACCUACGGGGCGCAGCAGUGAGGAAUAUUGGUCAAUGGUCGGGAGACUGAACCAGCCAAGCCGCGUGAGGGAUGAAGGUACAGAGUAUCGUAAACCUCUUUUGUCAGGGAACAAAGGCGGGGACGUGUCCCCGGAUGAGUGUAACUGAAGAAAAAGCAUCGGCUAACUCCGUGCCAGCAGCCGCGGUAAUACGGAGGAUGCGAGCGUUCUCCGGAUUUAUUGGGUUUAAAGGGUGAGCAGGCGGUCUGUUAAGUCAGAGGGCAAAACCCGGGGCGCAACCCCGGGCCGUCGUUG
This 297-nucleotide ribosomal RNA is filed under the name uncultured bacterium. Its description in RNAcentral is "partial 16S ribosomal RNA". It matches the Rfam family "Bacterial small subunit ribosomal RNA", at positions 334 to 628 of the family's 1533-position model. The record is from RNAcentral.